Molecule: long non-coding RNA, 270 nt
Organism: Rhodamnia argentea
Lineage: Eukaryota; Viridiplantae; Streptophyta; Magnoliopsida; Myrtales; Myrtaceae
Exons: 2
Source: RefSeq, a predicted model, not a curated record
UGGAGGGGACAAAGGAAAAGUAAAUCUUAGUUAUUGAUGUUUGUCAAGAAUAUUCACGUUUGUAUCAAGAUAUCAGGCAAGGGGGAGUGGCGAAAAGUCCUUGUCAAGAGGAAGCCAACCAAAUCCAUGGAUAAGGAGCUAAAGACUUGUCCAGAGCUAGAUAGACAAAUGGAUAGUUUACCAGAGACGAAGUAGAUUUGUGAAGUUUAGUUGCCUUGACAAGUUGAGAAGUGCCUAGUGUUGUCGCAGCAUGGGAGCUCUCUAUAUUGG